AGUGAACGCUGGCGGCAGGCCUAACACAUGCAAGUCGAACGGCAGCACAAGAGAGCUUGCUCUCUGGGUGGCGAGUGGCGGACGGGUGAGGAAUGCAUCGGAAUCUGCCCAUUUGUGGGGGAUAACCUCGGGAAACCGGGACUAAUACCGCAUACGACCUACGGGUGAAAGCAGGGGAUCUUCGGACCUUGCGCAGAUGGAUGAGCCGAUGCCGGAUUAGCUAGUUGGAGGGGUAAAGGCCCACCAAGGCGACGAUCCGUAGCUGGUCUGAGAGGAUGAUCAGCCACACUGGGACUGAGACACGGCCCAGACUCCUACGGGAGGCAGCAGUGGGGAAUAUUGGACAAUGGGCGCAAGCCUGAUCCAGCCAUGCCGCGUGCGUGAAGAAGGCCUUCGGGUUGUAAAGCACUUUUGUUGGGAAAGAAAAGCAGCCGGUUAAUACCCGGUUGUCAUGACGGUACCCAAAGAAUAAGCACCGGCUAACUUCGUG
Molecule: ribosomal RNA, 490 nt
Filed under: uncultured bacterium
Lineage: Bacteria
Description: partial 16S ribosomal RNA
Rfam family: Bacterial small subunit ribosomal RNA
Source: RNAcentral